RNAcentral lists this ribosomal RNA (596 nucleotides) under Nakaseomyces glabratus. RNAcentral describes it as "eukaryotic LSU rRNA". It matches the Rfam family "Eukaryotic large subunit ribosomal RNA", at positions 69 to 669 of the family's 3401-position model. The record is from RNAcentral. Lineage: Eukaryota; Fungi; Ascomycota; Saccharomycetes; Saccharomycetales; Saccharomycetaceae.
GGGUAAUGGCCUUACCUAACGGCGAGUGAAGCGGCAAAAGCUCAAAUUUGAAAUCUGGUUCCUUUGGUGCCCGAGUUGUAAUUUGGAGAGUACCACUUUGGGACUGUACUUUGCCUAUGUUCCUUGGAACAGGACGUCAUGGAGGGUGAGAAUCCCGUGUGGCGAGGGUGUCAGUUCUUUGUAAAGGGUGCUCGAAGAGUCGAGUUGUUUGGGAAUGCAGCUCUAAGUGGGUGGUAAAUUCCAUCUAAAGCUAAAUACAGGCGAGAGACCGAUAGCGAACAAGUACAGUGAUGGAAAGAUGAAAAGAACUUUGAAAAGAAAGUGAAAAAGUACGUGAAAUUGUUGAAAGGGAAGGGCAUUUGAUCCAACCUGGUGUUUUGCGCCCCUUGCCUCUCGGGGGCUUGGGACUCUCGCAGCUCACUGGGCCAGCAUCGGUUUUGGCGGACGGAAAAAACCUAAGGAAUGUGGCUCUGCGCCUCGGUGUAGAGUGUUAUACCCCUGGGGAAUACGGCCCGCCGGGACCGAGGACUGCCAUACUUGUUAUCUAUGAUGCUGGCAUAAUGGCUAUCUGCCGCCCGUCUUCAAACACGGACCAA